This is an RNA transcript of Abrus precatorius (Indian licorice), 4260 nucleotides long. It is a transcript of the gene named lysine-specific demethylase JMJ25, with no coding region annotated. The transcript has 13 exons. NCBI's taxonomy places the organism in Eukaryota, Viridiplantae, Streptophyta, Magnoliopsida, Fabales, Fabaceae. The record is from RefSeq and is a predicted model, not a curated record.
GCCUUAUUCCCUUUUUUACCGUUCGAGUUGCAGGCGCAUGAAAGGUGAUCCCCCCGCAGGCCACCGUUUACUGUAAGCUUGCACACGAUUCUUAUCGCACACAACACUUUCUCCAUCCCAACACUACCCUCUCUGCAACAUCAAUUUCUGGAACAUUCCGCCGUAGCAACCACCGAGCCACUUUCAACUCACUCGCCGAAUCGCUAUCGCUAUUCAAUUCCUUUCCCCGCCUCCCUCUUCCACUUCUAUAAUAGGGUUUCAUCCCCCGAGCCUCGUGCUUCGUCCUCGAAGCUAGGGUUUGUUUUCCGAACCGAAAAUGGACCACGCGCGAUCGACGAACGGCGAGGAGAAUGUGGGGAUUCCCGACGACUUGCGGUGCAAGAGAUCCGACGGGAAGCAAUGGCGAUGCACGGCGAUGUCGAUGCCGGACAAGACGGUGUGCGAGAAGCACUACAUCCAAGCCAAGAAGAGAGCUGCGAAUUCCGCUAUGAGGGCUAACCUCAAGAAAGCUAAGAGGAAGUCUCAGUCACUGUCGCUUGGCGAAUCGGAUAUUUAUUUGGAGAGCAAGAGCGACGAUUUCGACGUUCCUCUUUCCUCCAUCAACCACUCCGCUAAGAAGUUCUUAGAUAAGGUUUCUAAGAAUCAGUUCCGUUACACGCCUGAAGCUGAUUCCAGAAGAGCUUCCUCUGCGCUCCACGCUCGCAGCAACGUCGCUGAUGAUGACAUGGAUGCUGAUGCUGACGCUGACGCUGAUGCUGAUGCUGAUGUCGACGCGCCUCUCUACGAAGACAAUUGGAUCUCCUAUGAUUCUCCACCGGAGAAAAGAUCGCAUAGGAGCUUGGAUGCUAAUGCAACAACUGAAUAUUCCGAUGGAACCUCCGGUUCUUCUGGAGACACCGGCGGGCAAACUUGUCAUCAGUGCCGGAGGAAUGACAGAGAACGAGUUACUUGGUGCCUCCGGUGUGAUAGGAGGGGAUACUGUGAUGGCUGUUUAUCAGCGUGGUACUCGGACUUUUCAGUGGAUGAGAUUCAGAGGAUGUGUCCUGCUUGCCGUGGAAUAUGUAAUUGUAAAACUUGCUUGCGAAGUGAUAAUUCAAUUAAGGUUCGAAUACGUGAGAUACCUGUUAUGGAUAAGUUACAGUAUCUCCAUGUGCUGCUGUCGUCGGUGCUUCCUGUGGUGAAGCAGAUCCAUCGUGAACAGUGUUUUGAAGUAGAACUUGAAAAGAAGUUGCGGGGUGCUGAAAUAGAUCUUCCGAGGACAAAGUUGAAUGCAGAUGAGCAGAUGUGCUGCAAUUUCUGUAGGAUACCUAUUACUGAUUAUCAUCGACGGUGUCCAAGUUGCUCAUAUGACUUGUGCCUUAAUUGCUGUCGAGAUCUUCGAGAAGCAACUGCAGAUCUCAAUAAAGAACCCCAAACAGAGCAAGCAAAAACUUCUGAUAGAAACAUAUUAAGUAAGUUUCCUCUUUGGAGAUCCAAUGACAACAGAAGUAUUCCAUGCCCCCCUAAGGAGUAUGGUGGCUGUGGUUAUUCAUCAUUAAAUUUAAGCCGAAUUUUCAAGAUGAACUGGGUUGCAAAGUUGGUGAAAAAUGUAGAGGAAAUGGUUAGUGGCUGCAGAAUUAGUAAUGCUGAUGAUACACCAGAAGCCGAGUUGAAUGCUCUUAGACUAUGCCAAUAUUCUCAUAGAGAAGAUAGUGAUGAUAAUUAUCUUUAUUGUCCAACAUCUGAUGAUCUCAAAACUGAUGGGAUUGGCAAUUUUAGAAAGCACUGGAAAACUGGUGAACCCAUUAUUGUUAAGCAAGUUUUUGACGGGUCAUCCAUAUCAAGCUGGGAUCCAAUGGUCAUAUGGAGAGGGGUUCUAGAGACAUCAGAUGAAAAAGUGAGAGAUGAAAACAGAAUGGUUAAGGCCAUAGAUUGCUUAGAUGGGUCUGAGAUUGAUAUAGAGCUUACUCAAUUCAUGGAAGGAUACACCAAAGGGCAUAUUCAUGAAAAUGGUUGGCCACAAUUAUUGAAGUUGAAGGAUUGGCCUUCACCUAGUGCAUGUGAAGAAUUUCUAUUGUACCAAAGACCUGACUUUAUCAGCAAACUACCUUUACUUCAGUAUAUUCACUCCAAGUGGGGCCUUCUCAAUGUUGCAGCUAAAUUGCCUCAUUACUCCUUGCAGAAUGAUGUAGGACCCAAGAUAUAUAUAUCUCAUGGGAUUAGUGAUGAACUUGGCAGAGGUGAUUCAGUGACAAAUCUCCACUUCAAUAUGCGUGACAUGGUGUACCUUUUGGUUCAUACAAAUGAAGUGAAGAUGAAGGACUGGCAGAAAACUAAAAUUGAAACGAUGACAAAAGCUUUUAAGGAAUCUGAGGCAAAAGAAUCUAGUGGGGAUCCUCAAAUAUCUUCGAGGGAGAGUUCACCUGAUUCAUCACUUGGUACGAAAAGUAAUGGACUGGAUAUGGAUUCAAACCAGAGUAAAUCAAUUAUGGACCAAGAGUUUGAAAUUUAUUCUAGUGCUGAAGGUAAUAUAGUCAACUGUAAACUUCCAUUCACACAAAAUGGAGAUGUCUCUGAGAGAACACAUCCAGGAGUUCUUUGGGAUGUUUUUCGUCGGCAGGAUGUUCCAAAGGUGACUGAAUAUUUGAAAACACAUUGGAAGGAAAUUGAGAAGUCAUAUGAUAUAGUAAAUGAAUUUGUUGCAUCGCCUCUUUAUGAGGGAGCUAUUUUUCUUGACAAACACCACAAAAUCAAGUUGAAGGAAGAAUUUGUACCUGCCUGAAUAGGAGUGGAGCCUUGGUCAUUUGAACAGAAUUUGGGGGAAGCUAUAUUUGUUCCUGCUGGUUGCCCUUUCCAAGCAAGGAAUGUUCAGUCCAAUGUUCAGUUGGGCCUUGAUUUCUUAUCUCCGGAAAGCCUGGGGGAGGCUGUAAGAUUGGCAGAGGAAAUCCGCUGUCUCCCUAAUGAACAUGAAGCAAAGCUCCAAGUAUUGGAGAUUGGCAAAAUAUCUCUCUAUGCGGCAAGUUCAGCAAUCAAAGAAGUUCAGAAACUUGUACUUGACCCAAAACUUGGUGCAGAGAUCGGAUAUGGAGACCCCCAUUUAACUGCUAUGGUUUCUGAGAAUUAUGAGAAGAUGGUUAAGCGGAGGCAGAUUACUUGUGCUUGAAUUUUCACAUUCAGUUUGGUCAUUGAAUCAAGGAAAGGGGUUAUGUUUAUAAUAGUUGUAUUUGAGCAAUAUUUUAUGGGUUGAUGUUUCAGUGUAGUUGAUCAAAUACCUAGGUAAUCAUUUAUGUGUAUAAUAGUUACAUGUUAGGGAGUCAUAUAAUGAAAAAAAAUAAAAAUUCAAAUCUGUAUUUUAUUUCAAAAAGUUGGAUAGAAACAUGUAAGUGAUAUUUACGAACUUGCUUCUGCUUGCCCGUCGUAGUAUCCUUGUAGUUAAAUUAAGAAAUGCUUGGGGUUUAGAACUGGCAACAGGUUGGACAAAAAAAAAAAAGAUCUGGCCAUAGAUCACACAAAAAACUAAAAUUGGUUCAUUUUAGGGGUCAGUCUCUGUUGCCAUGCAAUUAAAAAACAAGAGGGAAGUUUAUUUUCCCCAGUUUUGGCGUCUGGCCUUUAAACAUUGAGGAUUCGUUUUAAGACACUGUGGUGAGUGCAAAUGAAUCAGCAAUUUUGUAGAAAUCUGACUUCAAUUCUGACCAGGCUGAUUCAGGUGCCUGAGCAUUUAAAGUAAAAAGUCUACCACCGCGAGCGCAGCAUACGGAAACAUUGUGUCGUCGAAACGAGGGGCUCUCUACUCUGAACUCAAACUCGUAGUAUUUGACAUUUCUAACGGAAUCUUCCCUCAAACUUGAUUUUAUCAAUGUGCCUUUAACUUCAGGGCGUUGCCCUGAUCCUGUUAUGCGUCGAACAACGGCUUCGCCCACCUCAUCUGGGCCUCCAAAUGCUUCAAUCCUACCGAAAAGGAUUAGAAAUUCAAGUUGUCAAUCUUCCUUUUAUUAAUUAUUAGUAUAAUUAUGAAAAGGAGUUUAUCAAGUGAAACAGGUGAUCGAUAAACUAUUUUUUAUUAGUCAUUUAUUUUUUAUGUUAUUUUGGGACCCGACACUUUCCACUUAAAAGAGAAACUGGUUGACCAAAAAAACAAGGAGAAAGUGAAAAGUUAUCUUUUUCUUUAUUAUUAACAUAUCAUUCUUUUAGUCGGAUAACAACAUUGGUGGGAAACAAAGUAAGUGAGGGGGCAUGUGUGAUACUACUAGCAAUGUAGUUAUUAGUCGUACUUACGAGAAG